CCUACGGGAGGCUGCAGUGGGGAAUAUUGCACAAUGGGGGAAACCCUGAUGCAGCGACGCCGCGUGAGUGAAGAAGUAUUUCGGUAUGUAAAGCUCUAUCAGCAGGGAAGAAAAUGACGGUACCUGAUUCAGAAGCCCCGGCUAACUACGUGCCAGCAGCCGCGGUAAUACGUAGGGGGCAAGCGUUAUCCGGAUUUACUGGGUGUAAAGGGAGCGUAGACGGCAGGACAAGUCUGGAGUGAAAUGCCGGGGCUUAACCCCGGAACGGCUUUGGAAACUGUGCAGCUAGAGUGCAGGAGAGGUAAGUGGAAUUCCUGGUGUAGCGGUGAAAUGCGUAGAUAUUAGGAGGAACACCAGUGGCGAAGGCGGCUUACUGGACUGUAACUGACGUUGAGGCACGAAAGCGUGGGGAGCAAACAGGAUUAGAUACCCCAGUAGUC
RNAcentral lists this ribosomal RNA (440 nucleotides) under uncultured bacterium. RNAcentral describes it as "partial 16S ribosomal RNA". It matches the Rfam family "Bacterial small subunit ribosomal RNA", at positions 338 to 795 of the family's 1533-position model. The record is from RNAcentral.